AGUCACGAGUUUGAUCAUGGCUCAGAUUGAACGCUGGCGGCAUGCUUUACACAUGCAAGUCGAACGGCAGCGGGUCCUUCGGGAUGCCGGCGAGUGGCGAACGGGUGAGUAAUGCAUCGGAACGUACCCAGACGUGGGGGAUAACUACGCGAAAGCGUAGCUAAUACCGCAUACGCCCUGGAGGGGGAAAGCGGGGGAUCUUCGGACCUCGCGCGAUUGGAGCGGCCGAUGUCGGAUUAGCUAGUUGGUGGGGUAAAGGCCUACCAAGGCGACGAUCCGUAGCUGGUCUGAGAGGAUGAUCAGCCACACUGGAACUGAGACACGGUCCAGACUCCUACGGGAGGCAGCAGUGGGGAAUUUUGGACAAUGGGGGCAACCCUGAUCCAGCCAUUCCGCGUGAGUGAAGAAGGCCUUCGGGUUGUAAAGCUCUUUCAGCAGGAACGAAACGGUGGUCCCUAAUACGGACUACUAAUGACGGUACCUGAAGAAGAAGCACCGGCUAACUACGUG
RNAcentral lists this ribosomal RNA (510 nucleotides) under uncultured bacterium. Its description in RNAcentral is "bacterial SSU rRNA". It matches the Rfam family "Bacterial small subunit ribosomal RNA", at positions 1 to 507 of the family's 1533-position model. The record is from RNAcentral.